This is a long non-coding RNA of Callithrix jacchus (white-tufted-ear marmoset), 3064 nucleotides long. RefSeq lists it as uncharacterized. NCBI's taxonomy places the organism in Eukaryota, Metazoa, Chordata, Mammalia, Primates, Cebidae. The record is from RefSeq and is a predicted model, not a curated record.
AGACAAUCUCUGAUAACUUGGAGAGUUUCCCAUACUUGUAGAACACCUGGCGUCCGGUGCCCAAAAAGGAGGUCUUCAGGAUGCGGCCGUCAUCACUGUAGUCGAAGAUGACCGAAGCAUUGCUUUCAGGAAGAUACUGUAGUUUGCAACUUUGCAGAUACCAGCAGAGGAAGAAAAACAUGGGAGACUGCUGAUCACCUAAUGUGGAGACUUGAACUUCAGCCAGACAAAGGUGGAAUCUUGAUAUGGAGGGGGCUGAAUCUGCAGAGAGGUCACCCGGUCUGGCUGGAUUUCAAUCCAGUUACACAGCAAAAGUUACGACCCAAGCUUUGCCAAUACUCAGCCUUCUACUCUCAGGGAUUGCCAGGCAUUUGAUAAACUCCUUGUUCCAUUGUUUCCUGACUGCCUAGUGCUUGUCUUGUUCUGCAGUUAUUUUUAUUUAUCAGUUUACUUAUCUGCCCCUCUCUUUCCCAUCUCCCCUCACCCUGGAGGUGAGGUGCAGGAAGUUAGGGGCUUCGCUUUACAUACCAUUAGGUGCAUAGCACAGUGCCUGGCUCAUAGUAGGUUCUCAAUAAAUAUGUGCUGAAUUUGAUAAAGAUUGGGAUCCCCAGUAUUCAUUUCCCUUCCCCAGGGAAGGGUUUAGCAUGAUGGUAGGAACUGUUCCCUUUUGGUGGCAGAGAAGUGACUGGAGCAGAAUCCACAUGUGCUGAGAUGACCCAGAUGAUCACAGAUAAGCAGGCAGCUGUGUGACAUACUGGCAAGUGAGCCAGACAGAAAGAGAGACCUGGGGUCAAGUCCUGGCAUUGCCCUUUCUAGCCAUUGUGUCCUUGGACAAGUAAUGUAGUUUCCCUGAGUCUGUGUCUUUUUAUCUGAAAAAUGGAGUUAGUAAUAAUUAUCUUCAUGGGACUAUUGAAAAAGUUAUAAUAAGAUAACACAAGCAAAGCAUUUAAAAUAGGGUUUACAUCAUUGUAAUCCUCAAUAAAUGUUAUACAUUGCUUUAAAAAAAGAUGUCAUGUGGGGCAAGUUGCCUGUACUGGGAAAACUAGGGUUGGCUAAAAUUCCCCACUGAGGUUUAUUGUUACUUCCUCUUGGGAAAUCUUCCCUGAACAUCUCAGGUGGAGUGACAUCUCCUCUGGGAUCCCAUCAGACCCUGCAUGUACCUCUGUCUUUUCACUUAACCUGUGAUUGUCCUGUGUCUGCAUAUUUUAUCAGACAUGCAAUUCCUUGAGUGCAAAGAAGAUACUUUAAAAUUUUUGUUCUUCCAGUACUUAGCAAAUUACCCGGCACAUAGUAGGUACAAACACCAAUUCAUUGGGCACGUUGACCAGACAGUGAAAUUUGAGAAAGAAGAUGGCAAGUGUGAAAAGAGGACCAAAGCUGUCUCUAGGUACAGCAUAAUGUAAAUCCCCAGAGCAGGAAAUGGCCGCCGUUUUCAGUACUAGGAAAUGGAGAACGUUUUCCCCAAGGUAUGAGUCCCAAAGGGAGAUGGCGUCUACCUUCUGAGUGAAGAGUUUGCCUUUUCCAGGGAAUAAAAAGAGUAUUAGAGGCUUUGAAGCUGGGAAACUUUCUCAGCUCUGUGAGGAAAGGGUGUAUCCCCGCCCACUCUGUGGUAACAGAUCGGUUGGAACCACUUACCCGGAGCUUCCUGCCAAAGAUGGUGACUUUGCCUUUAAUCUGCUCCUUUCUUAGGCGCCACUCAAUGGAGUUUAAGCCAUUCUCCAUAGGCAGGGAGAUGUUGCAACGCCCAAUGGUGGGGGUGAUGGUGCCUGCCAGGACGUGGGGCUCGCUGUGGAAGCUGACACCCAUCCCAUUAGCAUACAUCACCCUCAGGGUACCGUUAUUACAGAGCUGGUAGCUGUUCCGCACUUGAUCUGGAAAAAUGUUGCGGGUCUAGCCACAGGUCAGAUCCACCGCAAAUCAAAGCCCAGGAUUUUCCAAGAAAAUUGAGAGAAGAAUCAACCUUGCCCAUCCUCGUGCUUUAACUGCUGACUGUGCCUGAUACCACCUUCACUCAAGAGAGCUCUGAAGAAACUCACAUACAUGAGGGAGAUGGAGCCAGUGGGUGCUGAUAAUGUGUUUAUCUUCCCCAGUGGAAGCUACACGAAUCAAUCAGACUUCUGACCUUUUCCUUUAUGGAAAAGUUACGGGAAGGAAAUGUGAGUCAGAGACUCCCUUUACAGAUACACUGCUUCCUGAUUGUCUGGACAAAGGAGUGGCCUGGGCUGGCCUCUGGGAUGUCAGCUUUUGCGGCAGUGAGCAAGGGUAUACCUGUCACUCCUGUGACUCCCACCAUCACGCAGGAGAGAAUCUACAUCAUUAAUCACUUGGCAGAGCAGAAAUACAGUCAUUGAAACAGGCUCUGCUGUGGGAUAAUAGUCCAGAAAUGUCACCAUUUAUCUACUGAGAAGACACUUUUAUCCUCUGACAACAGGCUAGCCCACCGACAUUAUAUCUUAAUUAAAAGAAAAAUUAAUAGGCACAAUUCAUUUUCUGGCCAGCCCAGUGCUUGCCCUGGACUGCAAAACAUGUCUAAUAGCAACAAUAAGCACAGGGUGGUCAGAGACCUUUGAGAUCCCAGUCUUGGAGAGGGAUUGUUAAAGAGCUCCAGUCCCAGGGCAACAAACUCAUCAAACAAAUGCUUAAAAGAGAGAAUCAGAAUGGAAGAAGAAAAUAGGAAAUCUAGUUGUGGGCCAAGAGAAUAAAUGGCCUUUGAGAAGAUUAUGUGUACUGGGUUGGUGGGGAGACGUGGUGGUGGAAGGGUAAGAAGUAGGGAGAGAGUAUGUGGGGAGGAAAAUGGACAUUUUCAGGUAACUACAUAGACAGUUCAAAUAUCUAGACAUUAGUUGAGUGUAGAUGACAUUCUGCUGUAUCUGAUUAAGCAAUUUUCUAUAAGAUUGACUUCUUAUUGAGUUAGUUUGCUGUGGACACUUGAAUAAAAUGGAAAGCUGAGGGGUGUGCUGGACCCCUGGAAGUCCUCCCAGGCUCACAUGUUGGGCUUGGCUGGGUUCUGGGUCUGUGGGCGAGUUUGGGGGUAGGAUGGUAUGGGGGCAGGCUCACCUUGUAC